This 320-nucleotide ribosomal RNA is filed under the name uncultured eukaryote. RNAcentral describes it as "partial 18S ribosomal RNA". It matches the Rfam family "Eukaryotic small subunit ribosomal RNA", at positions 1469 to 1796 of the family's 1831-position model. The record is from RNAcentral.
CCCCUUAGAUGGUCUGGGCGGCACGCGCGCUACAAUGAUGCAUUCAAAAAGUCUUCUGACCUUAGAAGGUUGGGUAUUCUCCAAAGUGCAUCGUGAUGGGAAUAGUUUAUUGCAAUUUUUAAUCUUGAACGAGGAAUUCCUAGUAAGUACAGGUCAUCAACUUGUGUUGAUUACGUCCCUGCCCUUUGUACACACCGCCCGUCGCUCCUACUGAUUGAGUGUCUCGGUGAAUUCUUUGAUCUUCUGUCGAUUCAGUUCACUGAUCCGACGGUGGAAAGUUGAAUGAACUUCGUCACUUAGAGGAAGGAGAAGUCGUAACA